UACGUAGGGUGCAAGCGUUAAUCGGAAUUACUGGGCGUAAAGCGUGCGCAGGCGGUUUUGGAAGUCUGACGUGAAAUCCCCGGGCUUAACCUGGGAAUUGCGUUGGAGACUGCAAGGCUGGAAUCUGGCAGAGGGGGGUAGAAUUCCACGUGUAGCAGUGAAAUGCGUAGAGAUGUGGAGGAACACCGAUGGCGAAGGCAGCCCCCUGGGUCAAGAUUGACGCUCAUGCACGAAAGCGUGGGGAGCAAACAGG
This 253-nucleotide ribosomal RNA is filed under the name uncultured bacterium. Its description in RNAcentral is "partial 16S ribosomal RNA". It matches the Rfam family "Bacterial small subunit ribosomal RNA", at positions 524 to 776 of the family's 1533-position model. The record is from RNAcentral.